GGGAGAUGGGUACUGUCGCAACGGACCGACAGCCGGCGCGCAGGAUAAGAAAGUCGCUCCUUCCUCGUCUGCCGCGCAGGCACGAGGCGGACAGCCUCGCGCCAAACACAUCAGCUGGAAGGACCGUCACGGUGGGGCGGAACCGCUGACACAACACCGGCUGGCGAUUGGGGAGUCAGUCGAGAGAAUUCCACCACUCAGGCGACGGGGGAAGAGUAUAAGAGGACGCUCUUCCGCCCGUGCAGGGAUGGGUACUAACUCGCAGACCACGUUCGGGUGCGGACGAAGACGCCAGCUGGUGAGCUUACACACGACGGUGGAUGAGGCACGGGAAAAUCCCACACACUGCUAGGGAAUCCCGACACGCCCUUGAGAGCGUCGCAACGCCAGCCACACCCCCCCACAAAACCUCCCACACCUCACCCACACACACCUCCUCACUUCAGACAGCACCACGUAAGAGAAAAUAAAAGAUUAAUCACUGUAUCACUGCAACCAGUUUCCUGCAUAUCUGUGCUCCGCCCCCCCGGGCUAUUUCCCUUACAGACACUUAAUGCUUUACAGUUAGAUAUGAC
Molecule: long non-coding RNA, 575 nt
Organism: Ictalurus punctatus (channel catfish)
Lineage: Eukaryota; Metazoa; Chordata; Actinopteri; Siluriformes; Ictaluridae
Source: Ensembl